GGAACUAGAUGUGGGGANCAUUCCACGGUCUCCGUGUCGCAGCUAACGCAUUAAGUUCCCCGCCUGGGGAGUACGGCCGCAAGGCUAAAACUCAAAGGAAUUGACGGGGGCCCGCACAAGCGGCGGAGCAUGCGGAUUAAUUCGAUGCAACGCGAAGAACCUUACCAAGGCUUGACAUAUACCGGAAACGGCCAGAGAUGGUCGCCCCGCAAGGUCGGUAUACAGGUGGUGCAUGGUUGUCGUCAGCUCGUGUCGUGAGAUGUUGGGUUAAGUCCCGCAACGAGCGCAACCCUCGUUCUAUGUUGCCAGCACGUUAUGGUGGGAACUCAUAGGAGACUGCCGGGGUCAACUCGGAGGAAGGUGGGGAUGACGUCAAAUCAUCAUGCCCCUUAUGUCUUGGGCUUCACGCAUGCUACAAUGGCCGGUACAAAGGGCUGCGAUACCGUAGGGUGGAGCGAAUCCCAAAAAGCCGGUCUCAGUUCGGAUUGAGGUCUGCAACUCGACCUCAUGAAGUCGGAGUCGCUAGUAAUCGCAGAUCAGCAACGCUGCGGUGAAUACGUUCCCGGGCCUUGUACACACCGCCNCGUCAAGUCGUGAAAGUCGGUAACACCCGAAGCCAGUGGCCUAANCCCCUUG
RNAcentral lists this ribosomal RNA (636 nucleotides) under Frigoribacterium sp. RNAcentral describes it as "bacterial SSU rRNA". It matches the Rfam family "Bacterial small subunit ribosomal RNA", at positions 812 to 1445 of the family's 1533-position model. The record is from RNAcentral. Lineage: Bacteria; Bacillati; Actinomycetota; Actinomycetes; Micrococcales; Microbacteriaceae.